This 147-nucleotide ribosomal RNA is filed under the name Endoconidiophora polonica. RNAcentral's name for it is "5.8S ribosomal RNA". It matches the Rfam family "5.8S ribosomal RNA". From Rfam's summary of the family: 5.8S ribosomal RNA (5.8S rRNA) is a component of the large subunit of the eukaryotic ribosome. Lineage: Eukaryota; Fungi; Ascomycota; Sordariomycetes; Microascales; Ceratocystidaceae. The record is from RNAcentral.
AAACUUUCAACAACGGAUCUCUUGGCUCUAGCAUCGAUGAAGAACGCAGCGAAAUGCGAUACGUAAUGUGAAUUGCAGAAUUCACUGAAUCAUCGAAUCUUUGAACGCACAUUGCGCCUGGCAGUAUUCUGCCAGGCAUGCCUGUCC